RNAcentral lists this ribosomal RNA (1372 nucleotides) under uncultured bacterium. RNAcentral's name for it is "bacterial SSU rRNA". It matches the Rfam family "Bacterial small subunit ribosomal RNA", at positions 28 to 1381 of the family's 1533-position model. The record is from RNAcentral.
GAUGAACGCUGGCGGCGUGCCUAAUACAUGCAAGUCGAGCGAACAGACAAGGAGCUUGCUCCUUUGACGUUAGCGGCGGACGGGUGAGUAACACGUGGGUAACCUACCUAUAAGACUGGGAUAACUUCGGGAAACCGGAGCUAAUACCGGAUAAUAUUUCGAACCGCAUGGUUCGAUAGUGAAAGAUGGUUUUGCUAUCACUUAUAGAUGGACCCGUGCCGUAUUAGCUAGUUGGUAAGGUAACGGCUUACCAAGGCGACGAUACGUAGCCGACCUGAGAGGGUGAUCGGCCACACUGGAACUGAGACACGGUCCAGACUCCUACGGGAGGCAGCAGUAGGGAAUCUUCCGCAAUGGGCGAAAGCCUGACGGAGCAACGCCGCGUGAGUGAUGAAGGUCUUCGGAUCGUAAAACUCUGUUAUUAGGGAAGAACAUACGUGUAAGUAACUAUGCACGUCUUGACGGUACCUAAUCAGAAAGCCACGGCUAACUACGUGCCAGCAGCCGCGGUAAUACGUAGGUGGCAAGCGUUAUCCGGAAUUAUUGGGCGUAAAGCGCGCGUAGGCGGUUUUUUAAGUCUGAUGUGAAAGCCCACGGCUCAACCGUGGAGGGUCAUUGGAAACUGGAAAACUUGAGUGCAGAAGAGGAAAGUGGAAUUCCAUGUGUAGCGGUGAAAUGCGCAGAGAUAUGGAGGAACACCAGUGGCGAAGGCGACUUUCUGGUCUGUAACUGACGCUGAUGUGCGAAAGCGUGGGGAUCAAACAGGAUUAGAUACCCUGGUAGUCCACGCCGUAAACGAUGAGUGCUAAGUGUUAGGGGGUUUCCGCCCCUUAGUGCUGCAGCUAACGCAUUAAGCACUCCGCCUGGGGAGUACGACCGCAAGGUUGAAACUCAAAGGAAUUGACGGGGACCCGCACAAGCGGUGGAGCAUGUGGUUUAAUUCGAAGCAACGCGAAGAACCUUACCAAAUCUUGACAUCCUUUGACAACUCUAGAGAUAGAGCCUUCCCCUUCGGGGGACAAAGUGACAGGUGGUGCAUGGUUGUCGUCAGCUCGUGUCGUGAGAUGUUGGGUUAAGUCCCGCAACGAGCGCAACCCUUAAGCUUAGUUGCCAUCAUUAAGUUGGGCACUCUAAGUUGACUGCCGGUGACAAACCGGAGGAAGGUGGGGAUGACGUCAAAUCAUCAUGCCCCUUAUGAUUUGGGCUACACACGUGCUACAAUGGACAAUACAAAGGGCAGCGAAACCGCGAGGUCAAGCAAAUCCCAUAAAGUUGUUCUCAGUUCGGAUUGUAGUCUGCAACUCGACUACAUGAAGCUGGAAUCGCUAGUAAUCGUAGAUCAGCAUGCUACGGUGAAUACGUUCCCGGGUCU